UUCCUCUACAUUCAUCCAUCGACGACAACAACAUCAACUCGAGCGCACUUGUGCACCCAGCAACCGCUGGAGCGCAACAGUCGUGGACACCCCUCCCCCGAAAGCGAGCACCCCACCACCUGAUUUGCUAAUGAUCCUUCCGCAGGUUCACCUACGGAAA
This 160-nucleotide unclassified non-coding RNA is filed under the name uncultured fungus. RNAcentral's name for it is "sequence contains ITS1". The record is from RNAcentral. Lineage: Eukaryota; Fungi.